Molecule: long non-coding RNA, 378 nt
Filed under: Vitis vinifera (wine grape)
Lineage: Eukaryota; Viridiplantae; Streptophyta; Magnoliopsida; Vitales; Vitaceae
Description: long non-coding RNA (VVIN_LNC006797)
Source: RNAcentral
UCUCACUUCUAUCUCCCUACCUCCAACUCUCUUGGUCUUGGUCAUUCCUUUCAUCUCGGUUCUCACUAUUGCAAGUGUGAGACCUUCUGUGUGCUUGCUCUUUGACUGAGCCAGAGAUUAGGAGUAGGGUCUAGCGGCGGGCUAUAUCGAUGCACGGGAGCAUUAUGGAGGAGAGCGACACUUCGAUGUCGAUUGGAGUCCGAUCAUUGAAGACCUGUAUAGCCCUGAGCUAGGUUUCAUGGAUAGUCGUGCGACCAGUGUGUUUCCUCUUUUGCUCUAGAUUCUUAGGGUUUUCGGAUGCACCCACACCAUUCGCUGUGCACUUUAGUUGACCAUUGAGCGUUGAGAGUUUGAGAGGUUUCACCAUAGGAAACCCCC